This 579-nucleotide long non-coding RNA is filed under the name Nicotiana benthamiana. RNAcentral's name for it is "long non-coding RNA (NBEN_LNC024039)". The record is from RNAcentral. Lineage: Eukaryota; Viridiplantae; Streptophyta; Magnoliopsida; Solanales; Solanaceae.
AACUUUUUUAAUCGUUAGAAAAUUACAUAAAUAGCUAGAAUUCGAUAUUGUGAGUGUAUAUUGACUAGUUCUUACUUCAUUUAACUACUUUGUGAUUGAUUGGCUCUGAAUUGCAGGUUUAGGCUUGUUCUUGACGUUGGAAGUGUGCUUCGGAGCGAGGUGAGUCUCCUUUCUAACCUUGUAAGAGGGAAUUGUCCCCUUAGGAUUAGUGAACAAAUAAUUAUUGCUAAAUGCGGGGGCUACAUACUCACCAAGUGACGAGAGUUUGUGCGUAGCUACUACUAUGUUGAUUGUUCGGGUAGUUUAGGACCCACAUCACGCUUUAUUUGUGAAAGUCUUCAUACUAAUUGUCUAAUGAGAUCACUUAGGAUGUGUUAGAGACUUGAAAGAACAUAAAAUCAACUUGCACACUUGUUGAACAUUGUAAGGCAUACUUGACUCUAAAUGUGCCUUUUGUGCAUAUUCUUGAUAUUGCCUAAUAUUUUUGGAUCGCGGCGAUCGCCUCGGUAUGAAUAGAUUCAUCUAUUGGUGCGUCGCCGACCCUCAGCAAGUGCACAGUUUCUUUCUACUGGUUCGGGC